RNAcentral lists this long non-coding RNA (616 nucleotides) under Musa acuminata (dwarf banana). RNAcentral describes it as "long non-coding RNA (MACU_LNC002039)". The record is from RNAcentral. Lineage: Eukaryota; Viridiplantae; Streptophyta; Magnoliopsida; Zingiberales; Musaceae.
UUCUUAUUUCUUGUCUUUACUUGUUUUUAUCUCCUCUUCUAACUCAUUGUAUGAUUGCCAAAUUGCCUAAAAGAAAAAUUGGCAGCUUUCUACCAUUUUGUUUCUGUUUAAUUUAGCUCCUACAAGUGUGAAUUUCAGAUAUGAAGGUUUCUACUUUUAAUUAGGUCGUUUUUCUUGCAUAAAUCUUUCUUCAUUCCAGUGGGGACAUUUUCCUUGUCAAAGUAUUGUGUUUGUGUACUAUUAAAUUCUAAAGAUCAAAUUAAUCUUUUUAUGGAAAAUUAUAAUCACAUUUUUUUAUUGUGAGAAACUACAGUGUUUUUCUAGUCCUAUGACUCCAAAGACGAAAAUCUGUGGCCUUUUUUUUUUGUUCAUAAAUGUAUCUCUCCUAAACUUUAGAAACAUUAUGUUCAUUGUUAGUGACAAUUUGUUACUGGAUGAACCUUUGUAGAUUUUGUCUGUGACAUAAUGUUGAUUGGGCAUCCUAUACAAUGUUGAUUUGUGUUGUCUUUUAUGUACUAUAUGGGAUGCAUACCCUUGAUUACUAAUUACUCGAUUAUUAUAUGCUUAUAGAUGAGUGCACUUAACGAAAGACACAUUGCUUAUGUUAUUUGACAAG